Taeniopygia guttata (zebra finch) is the source of this 17089-nucleotide long non-coding RNA. RefSeq lists it as uncharacterized. Lineage: Eukaryota; Metazoa; Chordata; Aves; Passeriformes; Estrildidae. The record is from RefSeq and is a predicted model, not a curated record.
UGGGUGGGGGGUGCGCAGGCACUCGUGCCGGCGCAGCCUCUCGCAUCAAGGUGUGCUGCAAUCCGGGCGGGCACGGUGGCUGCUCCUUAACCCCCGGCUGGCCGCGGCGCUCCCCGCCCGCCCCGCGCAGCCCCCGCGGCUCCGCGCUGCCUCCGCGCCCCGCGGCACCGCGCUGCGAUGCGCUGCAGCGCCGGGGAUGCGGGCAUGGAGUUGUGCCGGUGCCGGGCGGCGGGGGCGAGUGAGGACUAAUCCCAUCCCUGGGCCUGCUCUCUGUUCCCUUCCUGCAUUAGAGAUUGGCUAUAAGGAGAAGGCUGACGGCUGCAGCAUGAAGCGCAUUAUUACCUUGUGAUUCCAUGACCCUCCUCUAUGCAUCCCUAACUCUCGAAAGCUGAUUCAGCUUUCAGCUAGUGCUCUGGUGAGUCCUCUGCUGCAACAGAAGCUCCUAACUGGUAUGUCUUCUUUUUUUUUCCCCCCCCUCUCUUCUGCUCCCUGUCUUGCCUUUAACCGCUACCAGCUCAGCUUGGUUUAAACACUUUUCCUGGCCAAUGCAGGACUUACCUGCCAAUCCAACUUACCCGGGGACUUAAAUGUGGGCUUCUGCAUACACAAAUGUAUAUGUGUGUGUGUGUGUCUGUGUGGGGAUUUGCUGGAUGUAUGUUUAAUCUGUGGAUCGCUUAGGAAACCUCACCCCCCUCUUUUUUUUGUUCUGCUGUGGCAUACUCCGCAUUCAAAAAAAAAAAAAAAUAAAAAAAAGGAAAACAAAAAACCCACAAAAACUAACAAACUGCAGAGCAAGCAGUGCACUAGAAUAAUCUGAACUGAAAUGUUAGAACUUUGACAUGCAACCGUUCUGCAAGGUUAAACCGGCCUUUAAAUACCUAAUUCAGACACAGGCUGGCUAAUGACACCUGGGGGGAUUGGGGCUUUAUUUAUUUAUUUGCAACAAACUAGUGCUAUAAGCUGAUAUCAGGCAGAGCAAAAGGGUGAGAGGUGGUUAAACUUAGCCUAACUUGCAAUGAUCUCAAUGCUGUAGUGAUUAACUGUUAAAAUGCCGAGAAAUGAGUAUUAAUUACAGGCGCAUGGUUUGUGAACCAUCAGAAAGGGAAUAUGAGGAGGAGGAGAAGUUAGGUUUCCCUGCAAGGGUUUGGAAUUCAGGUUACAUGAAGUGUAGCAUCAAUUGACUGUUAUUGCUUCUGCAACUCAGAGUUGACUGUGGUCAUUAUAUUUUAUAUGCCAGUGGUGGUACCUAUCACAUGAAUAUAUAGACACCAGUUUGGUGAGGUGGAUACUGUGGUGCACACACACACUCAUGCAGAUUUAGGUACGUUUUAUAGCAUGCAUAUGGAUGUUUUAUAUGCAUCUUUAUGCAUAGGUAUAUAAAUGCUCUAUACAAGCAGGUGUAAUGUAUCACCCAGACACAGCCCAUCUCCAGGCUGUGUGGGGAGUGUGGAUACAGGUAGAUGUGUGCCUGUGCCGGAGGGAGUGUGCACUGUGUAAUUGUAUAGGCAGAAAUCCAUGAUUUGUGCUGUCAGUUUAAUUGCUGGGUUCCUCUCGAGCAGAUGGUUGUGUCUGUGGCUCCCAAGGUCUGAGCUCAGUCUCUCUGCCAUGGGCUGUGCUGGGACGAGCAUCUGCCUCCACCUCAGCCCCACUGGUGCGUCCCUUUUCCAGUGCCCAGCCCUACACAGGGGCUGGAUACAAAGUCCCCAAAGGUUUCUGCUGCACAGCUUCAGUUUGACUUUGACACUUGGACCUGAGCAGCACCUUGAGCUUUGGGCAGAGCAGGGAGAUAUUAUACAGCAUGUUGCUUUCCAUCCCUCUCACCCUGAUCCUUCCUCUUUCACCUUCAGGCGGUACCUCAGGCUCUUCCCUGCCCUUUUAUUUGCCCCUUGGCCUCUGCAUGAUCCAGGUCUCCAUCCAUUUUUCUCUCCAGAACAGCCACAGUUUUAUUGCACAUGCUUUUCUGCCAAAAGUAAGUGUAGGAGCUCAGUGAGCCCAAGUGGGUUGAGGACAGUGGCUGAUGUUCACCCACCACUACUCUACUCCUGGUGGUGGCUGGAGGAUGGGAUCCACAGGGUGCCUCUGAUGUUACAUUGAAGGCACCAUCAUGGCCAUUUGUCUGCUCCUCCACCAAAUGGCACAACCCUGGAAAGCACAAGAUUCCACCCAGAACCUCAAAGCAAAUUUAAAUCGCCACGAUGAAUUCUGCUGCUGUGGUUGCAUCAUUGUCUUCAGUUGUAGUAAGGAUUUAUAAGGUCAUUUUUCUAAAGCUCUUCCACAGGGCUUGCUUUAGGUGGCUGGCAGCUGCUGUCCUGCUAGUUUGCAGAAGUUCAGGGCUAUUUAGGACAGCCCAUGUCAAAUGCAUUUGAGGAAAUCAAAUUGGGUACAAGGUGCAGAUGUUUAACAGCCCAAGAAGUCCAGUAGAUGUUCUACUGCUGUCAGUCUGAAGGAAAUUCAAUACCAUGGAGUGCUUGGCUGUGCAACACCCCACCACCAACACUUUGUUUGUGUUGUUUGUUUGGGCUUUUUUUUUUUCUAAUCUGAAUCACUCAGACUUUCCCUCACACACUUCAGCUCUCCCUUUGCUUUAAUUUCACUGCAGUCAUGCAUUACACCAGUGCCACAGCUCCAUCUCUCUUCCCCUUAAUCCAAACUAAAGGUUGAAAUUUGCCUUUAAAUGAGACAAAUAAUGAUGGUUACAAGGGCCAGCAAACUGAUGGAAUGAGGGGGAAGCUGCACAGAGCCAGGACAUGCCAGACAGGCAUGUGCGGGUGUUGCAUGAGGGGUGUGAAGCGAUUUUGGGGCUUGGGGCUGAGCACAGCGGAUUUACACCCGGGCUCCAUGCGGCCUUUGCUCUUCGGUGGUGCUGGAAGUCGAUGGGGCGCGGGGAAAUAUUUGCUCCCCAGCUGGCAGUGAUAUUUUAAAAAGCAGUGAGACGCAUCGAUGCAAUUAGGUAUUCCAAAGUGCUUAGUUUGCCACUUGCUAAGUUUACUUAAACCCUCCUUAAAGGGUUCAUUAGAAGACCGCGAGGAACGGUAAAAUUCAUUAACACGGAGGCAGCCAUUGCACAUUUGCCUGUAAAUUGGUAUCGAUCGGGCGCAGGUGAGGAGGCACCGUGCCCGCCCUGCUGAGCGAGCAGCCAGCGCCCGGCGUGACCUCCGCCGCGCUCCUGCCUAAAUCCUGCCCAUUGUAGCCUCCCAUUCAGCCCGGGCGGCCAGCGCAGCCCUGCCACUCGGCCCACAUUGUCCAGAGAGCUUUAAAGCUCAGCACGGCUGCGAGGGAGGCGAGGCAGAGGGGCAGAGGCAGGAGCAGGAGCAGGAGCGGAGCUGCGUGCGGGACCGAGCAUCACCGGGCACUGCGCGGUGCCGGCCGGGGCGCGCAUCCCACGGGGAUGCGGGGAGAACUCGGCAAGGCUUGGCCCGAGCUCCCAGCACCUCGCUUUGGCUGCCUUUUAUGUCUGCAGGUCUUCCCAAAGCCCCUUAGCAGGCGUGGAGCUCAACCGGAUGAGUUAUUAGAAGCGAUUUUUAAUUAUUUUUUAUGGUUAAUGCCCUGAACGCGCCAAAAGGCAUGUGCUAUCUUUUGGGGGUUGCUUAUCUGUGGGGGUAGUGUCUCGCUCCCAGGGACCAGCAGAGGAAAAAUCAUUGGAUUCACUAGGUAAGAUGCUUUCUUCUUCCUAUGCUUUAAUCUCUACUUACUGAUAAAGCAAUCGCGUGUCUGGGGCUGAUGAGUUCUCUUACUCUGGCGAAUGGAGCAGUCCUUCCCGGUGUGGUUUGUAAAUCAGUAGCUUGCCAUUCGAUUCUUGGCUUUCUGAAAACAAAUUGGCUUUUUGUUUCCAAAUUGUAGGAUGGAGGCAAUUGGGAAUUGAUAGAUAUUUAACUUUCUCCCACAUGGCUUUGUCUGGAAUGAAACCUAUGUGCGUGUACAGCAAAGGCUUUCCUCUAAACCACAUUUUUGUCUUUUUUAAAUGCUGGAAGUUUAUGAUUUAGAAUGAAAAACCUACUUUUUAGGUGGACUGGGAGGCUGGCUUUUACUCUGUGCUGUAUACGUUUCAAAGAGCCCCUGCUAGGGCAGCCACUGGACCUCUGCUGCUUUGUGUCCAGUGAAUUAUGCAGUUCCCCUUCCCAGGACCCAAAAUCCAUCAUCUGCUGAGGGCUCAGCCCAGCAUUACUGGCAAGGAUAGGGAGCUGGGGUGUGUGUCUGUCUGCACAUAGGCUGGGCAGGAGGAAAGUCUGCUGGUUUGAACUGAGCCGUAACUCACUCUCAGGAUGUAAAUUGUAAAUCAGCGUUAUUUUUCCUCCUGUGACCAUAUAAAUGCGCAUAUUGAAACUACCUGCUUGAGAGACAUACUUCUUUAUAUGCCCAUAUGAACCUGGCAAGCUAUGGAAUGUAAAGAAGUAUGUAUUUCAGGUGGGAAUCCUUCUCAGAGGAGCAAUGUGUGACCCCGGGCAAGGCGGGGGAGAAAGACAGACAGAUUAUUUUAUAUUAUUAUUUUUUUUAACUGCCUGACCCGGCAGACUGACUGGGGAGUCAAUUGAUGAUCUUGUUCCAGCGCGUGUAUUGUUCUGUCACUUUGCCUGUGUCAGCAGGUGGAAAUGCUCAUCAGGACAUUAAAUAUUCAAUAUGCUGACUGCGGCAUGGGCUUUGAAAGGCGAUGCCAGAGGAAAGCUGGCUGUCCGCUCCUGGGUUUUAACAGGGAUGCAGGCCAGUCGCUCCCUUCUCCUGCUUCUCCAGCGACCCUUUUUACCCCAAAAAUAAGGCCGGAUAGCAAACAAAGCUGGCUGAUCUUUAAAUCUAGGAACAACAAAAGGAGGUGGAUGGUGGGGGGAGAAGAAGAGAGAGGAAAAGGAGACAACAGUUGUGACUUGGGUGUGUGGUGUUUUAGCUUUAAAUUAGUGUGCAAAUUCCGCUUUUUGAAUCUUUCCCACAUUAAAACUUUUUAUGCUUAAAACUGGUGAGAAGGAGAUCUUCCUUGUCAGUGUGGUGAGCCAUCGAGUCAGUGGAUCACAGCCAAAGCCAAAGGAGUACCCUGAAUAUAGGGGUCUUAAAUACAAAAAUUAGAUCCUUUAAUUCUGGAAGCCUUUUCCUUUGUAACAUUUUCCAAUGUAAAAUAGUUGGCUGUUUUUUCAGGAUCCUACAAUAAUGUGGCAAGAUAAAAGAAAUUUGGUUUAAAGACACAUUUAAUGUUCUGCCUAGGCGGGAGUCACAUCUGAAGGUUUAAAGCUUUCAGCCCCAAAUUUCCUCAUGUUUCUGUAAAAUUGCUAUGAUGUGAAAAGCUGAACUCCUCAAAAAACUGCUCCCCAGUUUUCCAAACUCCAGUUUCCAUCUCUUUGGGGCCGCUGAGGGCAGCAUUUUGGUUUUGAGUGAUUUCCCUGCAAUCACAACCCCAUCUUCGCCUUGCUCACGGGCUCCUCAGGUGUGGUGCCAGGACUUGUCAGGCAGCGGUUAAUCAAGUCUUUCCCAUGGCAGCAUCCUCCUCCAGGCAUGGGAACAGUCGAGGCUCUGAGUUUGGAUUUUGGGGAGUCUUUAUCCGUCUAUUCACAGUGAGUGCCGCCAUCACUUCUUCCAGGUAUGCCGAGAGGGAUCAAACUCAAGCUGGUGCUUGUGAGUAGUGGGUGAGAAAAGGCAGGUUGGGCUGUUGGGGAGAUUUCCUACCUGUAGGAUUUGUGGGGUUUAUCGAGGUGCUUUUUGUUGUUGUUGUUGAUGUUUAAAUUAAACACCACGGCUGAUGGAGUUGUGGGCAGUGCCGACCCCCUUCCCAGCAGAGGAAGAGACUUUGCUUUUUCUGCCAAGUGGCUUUGGGAAGGCUUGGUUUGCACUGGAGGAUGGCUGGUGUGGACAUUAUUCUGUUGGCUUUCUCAGAUGCUCUGGUUGUGCUGGGCCCUGGAAAGCUGGGGUGUUCCUGGCUGGCUGCGGCACUGUCCCUCAGGACCCGGCUGCAGGGAUGCAGCAACCCCUGGGCUCAGCCCCACCAGCAGCCACCCUGCCUGGGGACAAUCCUUGGCCCCCAUGACCCCACAAGCAUUGGUCCUGUGGGUGUCCAGCCCCAUUUUGGGGUCAGACCUAAAUAUGAAACUGGUGGAUGCUGGGAAAUGAGCUGAACCCAGGCAGGAAGGCACUGGUUUCACGUAGGACUGUAAUUCUGCUCUUUUGUAAAUCAGCAAUGUUAACUUGAGUCUCUGGAUGAAAAAUGAGGACAAUUCUCACCAUUCUGCAUAUAACAUAACAUUGUAUCUAAUAUAUAAUUUAUAUAUGAAAUUACCCUCCUUUCUUUGCUGACCCUUUGUCCGACUCCUUCUAAUUUCCCUUCUCCUUCCUUUUUUCAUUUUUCUUUUUUUUCUUUUUUCCUUUUUUUCCUUUUUUCUUUUUUCUAUUUUCUUUUUCUGUUUUUUUUUUCUUCCCCCCUCUCUGUUUUCUUCCCCUUCUCAGCACAGGUUAUACUAAAACCCGUGUGCCACUGCAUGUUGCUCUUUCAAAGGUGUUCGUGGUUUGAUUUACAGCAGAUACCUGCAUUUGUAAUGCAAUUUUUAUCUCCUUCCCCCCGCCUCUCUGAAUUAAUACGCUUGUUAAUCACAUGGAAUUGCUAACUUUAGGAAGUCGCUAAGUGCUCGGAUUUAUUUUUUAUGUAAAUAUUUUCAAAGGUAUAAUUCUGAGCGCUGUCUCGCAGCAUGGCAGCGGAGAUGGCGGGGGAAGCUUUGCCAUGGAUGGUGUCACCUGGGCUUGGACAAUGUUAAAAAUGAAGCGGGUUGGAUGUGGCCCCCCAGGAGCCAUGGUAGCCUUGCUGUUGACACCAAUGGAAGGAGCCGAUGGCUGCAGGCCUUCACCAACCGCUUUGCGCCAUCCUUCUUCUCCAUGGCAGCUCUUCAUCCCUUUUACACCGCUUUGGAUUAAAACUGCGGCCGUUACGUUGCACUGAGCCCGCUGUAUUUUACAGCUAAAUUAAAGCCACUUCUCUUAGGCUUUCUAUAAAUUGGUGAGCAUCUCCUGGCCUUGAGAGCCGUGGCGGGUGUGAUAUGAGGAGCACUCGCGCUGUACCUGCAGCGCUGGGAUGCUCAGGUGCGCCCAUCCGUCCUGCGAGCCGAGUACUGUGCAGUGCCAGGCGCAGAAACAGGAGCUCUGAGAAUUGUAAAAGCCAUAAAUCCAGUGGACCAAAUUAGUUAAAUUUUUCUAUUCUAUGCCUCACAAAAUCCAGCCGUUCUGGAGAUGAAUUCCCCGCAUGUAAGCGGAACUACCGGCAGGUAUAAGAUGGAUAUUUCGCACGUGCACAUGAGAGCACAGGGACAAAUUUGUGCCAUGCGGUUUUCCCUGGCGGGUUUUUCUUUUUUCUGUACUUCUGCGUGUUUGUUACAUUGAUGAUCCAUUAUUACAGUUGUUACUAUUACUUAAUGUUGGAAGACAGGUGGUCCCAUAAAUUCUAGUACUCUCUAUUUUUAUUUAUUUUUUUUUUUAAAAGGGGGGGCAUGUUUGCAAUUCAAGUUUAAUAGUGCAUUCAUCAAGAGCAAUAAAGCAUUUUAUUGCACAAGUAUUUCAAGGGAUGUGCCGGCCCUGGUAAAAGCAUUAGUAAAGGGGUGCAUCAGCAAUCUCAUUUAAAACUGUCGACCCAACGUGAAAAAUGUUGCGUUGAAGAAUAAACUGCUAUUAAGCAUGAUUAGAUUGACCUGCAGGACAGAUAUUUUAGCUGCAGCAGCACAAGUCGAUCAAAGUGAGCAUCGCUUAGAUUGCAAAUUUUUUUUUUUAAUGCCCUAAAUUAAAAAUGAAAGAGCCUCAGAAUAUUUAGGACCAGAGUGUGACUUUGGGGGUGAGAUUUGUGCAUUCAGUUUGAAGCAGUUUGGGAAAGUGGGGAAAGGGGGAAGAGGUAUUAAUUGCUGCCCCUUUAGCAUACAUUGAAAAUAUGUUACUCAGAUCAACCAAUCAAAAAAGAAAUUGUGCUGACUCAGCACUCGGGCUAGUCUGCACGUCCGAUUGCAGAAGAGAUCAGCACUGCACUGCAGUAUCUUUCCCUGCCUUUGACACCAGCCUAGCUGGGCAGGGCUUCCCUUGUGUUUCCCAGGACUGGUUUAGGCCAAGAACAAGAGAAGGCCCUGAAAAGAGGAGGAGAGAGUCAAGGUUGCACGAGCCUCGAGCUGCUAACAAUCCUUUUUAGUCAGUAAGAAGGAGCUUCCAUGCUAGGUUUGCCCUGCCAGAUGCAAGCGGCAUGAAUUGCUUGGGAAUAUAUCUAUUUUUAAAGACUUUCACCACAUCUUGCACUUAGCAGUGACUGUGGGCGAGGGGGUGGUGUGUUCCUAGCAAGAGAAAUAUCCUCGCUCCUCAGCUCUGAUGCCUCCCCGAAAGCCCAGGGCUGAUUUCAGUGCCGCACUGGCGGGUGCCUCCCAGAGAAGAUGCUGGGUUAAAUGUUUGCUGUGUGAUGCUGAAGCUGCUCUUGACCUCAGCCAAGCGGACAGCAAUGCUGAGAGCUGCCUUUCCACUGGGAUGUGGGGGGUCACGCUGAGAGCAGCCCAGCGCUCCAAGGAUGGGAGCCAACAGAGAACAUGGACUCCACUGCUGGCUUGUUGGGGUUGCAAACAAGUUGUGUAGCUUGCUUGCCUCAGUUUCCCUCUGAGGCAAAGUAGGUUUUUGCUGAGGAGUUGUUGAAGCUGUGUUUGCACUGUGAGGCUGAAGGUGGAAGUGGCCAAGGUGGAUGGAGGCAAUGACAUGAGGCCAAGAUUGUCCUGGUUUGGUUGGCAUUGGCUUGCCCAGUUCUACCCGGUGUGUAUUUGGGGAGACGUCACAGCCUGCCUGGACUGUGCCCCUCUGCCCUCGUGCUGUCAUGCAAACACUCAUCUGCAUUCCCCAACCUUGGAACAGGUGUAACGUGUGAGGAAUGGAGGCUGGACCUCCAUGUGCCCAUGGAGCCAUGGAUGCCUGGGGGGUAUCCCAGCAGGAUGAGGGGUGAUGGGGUCUGUGGGGGUGCUCCAGCACUGCGGGCCUGCUUGCUGGUCACCAGUGUGGCCAUGAUCCUGUGUGCUGGGUGACUCUGCCAGCACUGGGCAGGUUAGGCUAUGCCAGGCUUAACCAGCUGUGCAUGCCCAGCUCUGAACACCUUGGUGGGCACCUACAGGUGGAACAGUGUCCCUGUGGGCUGCUCUCUCCUGACCACUGCAGCACCCCGUGAUGCUGUUGAGGUGUUUUUGCUUGCACUGUGUAAGCAGCACCAGCGAGCAUCCCUGGGUUAGUCUGUAUUUUUCCAGAGCAGUCUGUACGGAGCAGCAGCGCUGGUGGAUGACCGCCUUGUGUGCAAGGGGAAGGCUUUCAGACACAGAUAUGUCUUGACUAAAGCAGGAUUUGAUAGUCAAAGGUUUUAGCAGUUGGAACAGUUGCUGGUGGUGCUCAGGAGGCUCAAGGGAAGCAGGUGACUGACAUCUCCAGCAGAUGCAGGGUUUUCCUUUUUUUUUUUUUUUUCUUUUCCUUUUUUUUUUUUCUCCUGAAGCACAGAGCCGUGCCUGCAAAUGCCUUGCCAUGCCCAGAUAUGGCCUGUGCUGGGACCACUGCCUCUAUCUAAAAAAGCCCUGGGCAGACUGAUGAGCCUGGGGGAACUGGGGAACAACUGCUAUAAAUAGUGCUCAUUCUCAGCUGCCCUUCUGGGGGGACAGGAUUAGGUGGCAUCUGGGCAGCCAGGAGGCGUGGGACUCGUGACCACCAACCGCAGAAGUCACCCAGCAGCUGUAAGGAUAGGAGCCAUCCCUGCAAAGACCUUACAUAGGCAAGUCAACCCUGGCAUUUGGGGAGUCGGAUAAAGCCACAGGGGCAGGAAUCCAGUGACCUAAGAGCAAUUGAGAAUAAAGUUCACCACAACGGCCGGGACAGCGCUUCCAAUCUGAGCUGUGACCUGGCAUGGGAGACAGGACUUGGCUUUUGGCUUUUCAAGCAGCUUGGUGCAAGCAAAGGAAGGUGUCAGGAGGGAGAUGGUGACAUGGGAAGCAAAGUGUCACAAGGAGCUGCUGAGAUGAAAAGACUGGUGUUCCCAUCUGGGAGGCUGCGGGUUAAUUUGCUUGUUAAUUUCCUGGCAGCGAGACUAUUGGAAGCUCUGAUUUAAUAUUUGUGUUUACUUUGGGUAAACAAAUUAACAAAAAAAACCCCAAGUCUUAAUAAUUUAAGACACCGACUUGAUUGAAGCUAGCAGAAAGUAAUGAAUCUCAUGAGGUCAUUUCACUCCCACCCUGAGAGGAGAUGGGCACUGCCUGGAGCUCAUGGCCAUGGGGCUGUAGGGUAACUGAUCCCUAAAAGUGAGGGGUGCUUGUAGCUAAGGACUGCAAGAAAGUGAAACAGCUUCUGAAAGAGCAGAGGAAAAGGACUGUAUUGUGCUUUAAUUAAGCUCAACCUUGAGUAUUUGAAGGGAAAUGAUGGAGCAGGGAGUGAGGAAGGUUUGGCCAAAGAGAGGAGGUGGCUGUGCAGGUGAUAAAUGAAAGGGAUGUACUGAAAUGUGUGCAGUGGGAGAUUGGGGAAAAAUCAUGGAGCAACGCUGCAGCUUGUUCCUGAUUGGGAUGGAGACUUGAAUGUGCAGGCAGGUUGAGAUGGGUAUUUAUGUCCAGGCUUUGCCCCUUCUGUCUCUCACGGUAUCAGGACUGUGCUGCACCACUUUGCCUUCUUUAAAUUAAGCCAGCUUUGUCCUAAAGCCUUGUCUUUGAGACAAUAAGAUGCACCCGCUAAAAUCUAUUGUGCCAUUUUUGCAAAGCCCAGCAAAAGUCGCCCGUGCACCGUCCCCUCCCUGUCCUCCACGCUCAUUUAGCCUAUUUGAAACUGAAUUUAUUCCUGGGAAGGUCCCCAUCAAUUUGCCUUGCUCUUUUGUUGACAAGUUUAUUAAAAACCUGGGCAACUACAUAUUAAACUUUUAUCAGUGUCGAGGAAGAAUACGUCCUUUGAGCAGCCACAAAAGUUAUGGAUUGGGGCUUAAUGUUUCUUGUUCCACCAUUUGGCUGAGUCAGCGUAACAAAUAAAAGCUGCCACUUCUUUUUUUUUUCCCUUUCUUGAGAGACAGUUCCCUUAACAGUGUAAGUAACUGUGUCCAGCAAUGCAAAAAAGGUUUCAGGUCUGGGUAAACAUGAGGGUUUUUGUUUCUCUUUGUACCCAUAAUUCUUGAAUAAUUUUAAUAACUAAUAUAAGAAAAUAUGAACCCUGGAGAAAGUUAUUGCUGCUUAGCUCCGAGCCAAUAGUUUUGGUAAAAUAACUAUUACUUUAUAGUGUUUACAUCAAAAAAUUUGCUGCAAAUUAAUAAUUGUACUGCAAGUGAUGUGUUUUCAUCCAGUGUGAGGGCAGGAAGGGGUUGGAGCGAUGUUUGGUUGGGGAUGUCCCUUUGCACCGCUGCAAUAGGGGAUCUUCGCUCUUUUUCUUUAGUCAUAAGAUGAAACAAAGAGGAGGGCAAUAUGUUGCACCAAAGAUGUUAAAAAUAAAGCGUUAGAAUUGCAUAACCUAGUUCCCAUUCUGCCGUGCAGCUGAGUUUUUAGGAGUUGAAAGAAGCCUGAGAAAUAAUUGGUGGGAAGGAGUUUAAAUUGAUAUAACAACAGUCAGGCAGGGGGAAAAAAGUGAGCAUUGGUGGGACUAAGCCACAAUUCUUAAACUCUGCUGGGCAAAUAAAUAAAUAACACAGCAUCUUUCUCUGCCUGUCACCAUGUCCAAGGAUUUUUUAGUUCUUAAACAGGUCUGCUGGCAUAAUUUGUCAAGUCCAACAGGGAGGUUUCCGUGUGACAGCCGAUUGUUUUUCACCAGGCACAGUGGUGCACCAGAGCCAUCCUGCCGGCUCGGAGCAGCUCCAUAAUUAGACAAGAGUUAACAUUCCUGUAUGAGGUGGCUCAUCCCUCCUGCCCAGGGCACGGCACAGCCGCCAGGGCCCAUCCUGCGCCGUGCCCGCGGCUGGCGGGGAGCGUUCCGGACAAAUCCCUCUGCCUCCAGGAGUUUAUCUGCAUCACCAUUUGCUCCAAUUAUAACUAAUUGGACAAAUACUGCAUUUUCAUAGAAUCUAAUUUUCUAUUGAUUUUAACGGGACUGCUGGUGUUUUGUACUAUUAAGUGGUAAUCUCGUAUCAGUUGCUGUUUAAAAACGCUGAGUGCACUCCCCUGUAUGGGAUUAUGCAGUCAGCACAUGUUUUAAAACCUGUUUAAUUGUUAGGUCCGUAAAAUGCACAAACUGUAUUAGGGAGCGGCUUUGUUCUCUUUUGAGAGUGUGAGUAGCACAACAAAAAAAUCCAACUCCACAACUAUUUCCACAGCCGGUUUCAGGAGGUGCAGCUCCCAGAGACCUGCUCAGAGUCUUGUGCUUUGGGAAAAGAGCUUUGGAGGGACCCUCUUGAUCCCACAUGGAGCCAGCUCCCUCCAGGUAACAAUGGAACAGAGCAGGUCCGUGCUUGACUGUUGUUUUUACAGGAGGCCUAGGACCAAAAUUCGGGGUAAGACAGAGAGAAGGUCACUUUAGAUGCUUUGUAUAACAAAGGAAUAAGGUGAUAACUGUAGGGUUUGGAACUUUAUUCUCUGUCAUAGAUAUUGCCGUGUACCUUGGCGAUACACCCAAAUAAAACCAGACUAUCAAAUUAGCCAUUUCAUUUCAGCAAGUACCCCUUGAGGCAGGGUGAAAGCAACAGUCCUCUGGUCAGCACCACUUAAAGAAGAGAAGAUUUAAAGCAAAGAUUUAGGGGAGGAAGGGAGAGGUGGCCUGGCAAAGAGCAUUUCCAGCAAUGCACGGGGAUCGCUGGCUCCGGGAUAUUGGAUAACAACAAUAAUGGUGGAGAAAGCAGAUUAAAGGGGAUGGAAAUGAUGUUUUGGGGCAGUUGAGUCACCCUGGGGUGCUGGUGAGUUUCCUGUCAAGUUGCUGCCUUCACUGCUCAUUAGCAAGAGCCAUGUUGUGUUUGUUGGAGACAGGUGAGUUCAUGAGGGUGUAUAAAUUAAAUAGACACUUUAUUAAGUUCAGGUAAUAGUUUUGGUUUGAAAGACUGAGUGGCUACUGCAAUGUCAGCAACUGCCUUACUGCACAAAGGAACCGAAUGCUUUUUAAUUAAGUCAAAUAAAAUCCAAGCAGAAGGCUCUUGAGCCUUGUCUGGAGUCUACUUUUUGGGUUGAACAUCUUUAAUUUUAGAAAUGUUAAUAAAACACAGUCUACUUUUUCCCUGUAAUAAUGUAAGUUCAAUUAAUAUUUUAUGUCUGUAAGGAAAAGGAUAAAAGCAGCGAGCUUGUAUUUUCUGGUUUACAAAUGGCACAUUGGGCAGAAUCCUGCAACUGUGGCAUUGAUUUAAACAUCCUCACAAAGACACCAUGCAAUAAAGUUGAACCAUCUGCAGUAUAAGUAUGUCUGUUUGGGGGAAAAAAAUAGCAAUGUGAGAGAGUAGACAUUUUCCUGUAUUAUCAAAAGCCACUUCAUUUUGAGGAAAUUUCCUCCAAUUUAGUAAUGUUUGGAUGGAAAUCAAAUAACACAUUAACUUUGGGAAAGGGAAAAAAAAACCUUCCAAAGCUAAUUACAAAGGGAAUGUGCACUUCAUUAAGAUAAAGCUGUAGGAAAUCAAUGUUCUGUAUUGUUGUUUUUUUCCUUUUGAUUGGAUUUUAGAAUGAUAAAUUGUUCAUGCAUUUGAUCUAAAAAUGAUUUGUUUAUUCAGAUGAAGAGCAACAGUACUUUGUCUCAUUUGGCCUUUUAGCUUACAAUGAUAAUGGCUUGGAGGGGCUACUCAUUUCUCAAAAGUGUAUUGGACUGGAAUAGGCAGGAGAUUUCUGGACUCAGAAGGAUGGGCCCCAUGCAAGGGUUUGUUGUAGGCUAAUUCUAUUGCAUGUUGAAUCUUCUGCUUCAUUAAGAAUAUCGACAAAUGCUGAUAAAUUCUUUGGCUUUCCUGUACUGUCUAUAACACAUCUUUAUUAGAAUAUUGAGGCUGAAGUGGAAAGAUCUGCGAUAGAGGAGAUUCUCGUGUUGGGUACUACUGACCCUACUUGCCACAGCACUGGGGGCUUUUGCCCAUUUUCCUGGAUAUAAUCAUGGACAGCAGAGCCAGCAGCCAGGCACAGGCACCACACAAGGGUCACCAGAGCAGGAAAAGCCAGGCAUGUGUUUGUUCUGCUAUUUUGGCCUUGCUUCACCUCUAACCCCUGGCUCUCACUCCACAUGCCCAUGGCUCUCCAGUGCCAUCCCACAGCUCCUGUAGGCUUUGCCAGGUCAGGGUGGCAAGGCCAGGAGCAGGGGGGCACCAGCUCCUCCCACACCUUUCCAAUGCAAGACCCAACUUCAUGAGGAGAUGAUUAGACCUGACUUGGCUUUGGGCACAAACCUGACCGUGCUGGUGUGGGGUGGUCGAGGUUUUGGGCCUGGUUUGGGGUGCUGUUGCAGGCUGCACUUGCAACAUUGGCACAGGCAGGAAGGGAGAGCAGCACCAAUCCCUGCCUGGCUGUUAGGAUUGGCAAACUCUGCUGUCAGUUCUUGCCUGUUGAAUCCCUCCUAUUUCAUAGUGGAGGGCGCCCACAGGCAUUUAGAAAAGAGCCCUGCCUCACUAGAGAGAUCAGGGGCUUCAGACAGCUCAGAUCUCUGACCACAUCUGUAAUCCACCUUGUUAGGGUGGCUGGUACAGCCCCAGAGACCAGCCUGGCAUGCCUGGGCUGGCAGAGACCUGGGCACUCCCAGCUGGGAGGCUGCAAGUCCCUGUGGGUUGCAGCCCUCCCCAGCUUUAUAACGUGGGCUGCUCUUUCUCAGCUGCUGGGAAAGCCUCACCACCAGAGAGACAUCAUUAGUUUUGAUUAAUGGCAUCCAGAAGAGAAAACCUAAUUUUCUAAAAAGGAAAACCUUACCCAUAAUUCACUGCAGAGAAUUUAAACAAAAUGUUAUAGAACAUCCACGCUGAUUCACAUUGAUUUCAAAUACGUUCCAAGGCACUCCCCAAAGCAAAGAAGGGAGGAGUGGGGACUGCUCUGGUCCCCAGCAGAAGAUGCUCGGUGUAACCCCACAGUGCUGCUUUCAAAGGACUGAUCUCAAAUCAACAGGGCUGGGACAGUGCACACAUACCUGUGUGCAGGCUGUGUUUGAGGUGGUGAUGCUCAGGCAGUUUGAUGCACUCUAUCCCAAAAUCCAUGUGCCCAUCAGGACUUAGCUCUGUACAGCCUUGCUCGCUAAUGGCAUUUCCACCUGUACCCAAUCACCAGUAAAUAAUUACUUUCCUUUGCUUCCUGUAAGUUACCAAAGGAUGAAUUUAAUACUUCCAGGUCUGCACUGUCUAAGUUUCCAUUUAGUUCCUUGGCUUGAUUGUCUCUUGUAAAGGUACCUACAGAUAACUUGAUUAAAUUAAUUGUAGAGCUCUUUUUUAAAAGCUAUUCUGUCUCCCUUUUUCUCUCCAUCUCUCUCUCCAUUUAUUUAUAGGCAGCUUAGAGUAACGGGUUUGGGCAGUUAAGUGAUCUGCAGUGCUUACCGUGACAAUGUGAAGCCUGGAGUUCUUCGGGAGAUAAAAUGCUGGCCCACUUGCAAUUUUCCUGCGUGCAGAGGUUCCAAGCACAGGUGCUUUUCCCUGGGAUCAUCUUGCAGCAUGGUGGGCUGCGAGGGAGAGGGGGGGAAAAGUCACCUUUGCCUUCUGACGCAUAUAAAUUCUUUAAAUAGGUUAUGCACAUGGCAAUGUGCAAUAUCUGCGCGUGGCUCCGGGUUAAGAAGGAAAGGCCUGACUUUAUUGGCUCCCACUGCAGAAAUGAUCGGAGCUGCUGUGAUUUUAAAAUUUGAUUUACUGGGUUAUUUUUAGCAGUGGGGUGUUCAUGCUGCAGGGCUCUCCAGGAGAAUUCAACACCCCAGUGUUGAGAUGUGAACCAUCACAGGAGUGACUUGGACAGCAGUGGUGUAGCAGGGACUUGCUUUCCCCAUUUGGGGACAAAUUGCCAGAUUAUGAGAUUGCAAGAAAGUAAAGCUUUUUUUUUUUUUUUUUUUUUUUCUUUCAUUCCUCCCUUUUGUUUCCUUUCCACCACUUUCCUGUUGGUUUCUGGUGAGCAAAUACAACCAUUGCUUGAGCAGGCCUCAAACCUCCUGAAAAUGCUGAUUUUAAUGCCAGAUGAGAAAACACAGGAGGCUUCACAGUAGGGAAGCAAAGUUUGCUAACCUCUAAAAAAAGAUUUCAGGUGUUCCAGUCUUUUCCCUCCCAUUUUUCAAGGAGAGCCCUGAGGGGAGAAGAGUUCUGCAGCCUGAGUUCCUUGGCUGUGGGCUGGGCUGGUUGUAGCAGGCGACAUCUGUGCUGCUGCGUGUUAGGUGUCACUUCAGACACCAAAACACGGGGAUGGAGGAGGACAGCACACCAUAAAACAGUGAAAGGAAAGGGGGAAGGAGGUGAUAAUUAAAGCAUCUGGAUGAAAACAGUAGCUUAACAUUUACUUAUGUCACACUGUAAUAGAACGUGGCUCUCAAAACAGAGCCAACUAUCAAGUUUAAAAACGCUUCAGGCUGAUGGUUACUGCUGCAGACUAUUCCACUGCUGUUCAACCUGCCUCUUUAAUUCAGACUUGCUCUUCAGCUGUAGCCUCUAAGAAGCUUAAAUAAAUCCUGACUGCCUGAAAGUGAAGCCAUUUGAACCAGUGCGGCAUCAGGCAGCAAGUUCAGAAGAGGUCCAGGCAGCUGGGAAAGAAAAGACCCUGAGGAAUUCUCUUCUCUGCUGCCACAGCCCAUGAGGCCAAAUGCUUUGCUAAAGCUGGUAAAAUGGAACCAAAUCAACUGUUCAAUGGAUUUGGUCCCCUUCAACCAGCUGUAGCUGUGCAUUGAUCUCUCAGACGCACCUUGGAGGAUGAAACACUUGAACCCGACCAGGGCGGCUCAGGUAGAAGACAAAUGGCCAUUUGAACACUGCUGAUAAGGAAAUGAUGAUGAUUGGCAUCUACAGAUCUAUCACUCAGGCUCUAAACUGGUGGGCUGAGCCUGAGUCAUUAUGUGGUUGCCAGUCAAUUCUGCCUAAGGGAGACCACUCAGGAUUGAUAAUCUCUAUCAGCCCCUCCAUUGAUCUCAGCUGUAACCCAGUGUGUUCCCACUGCAAAUGCUGUGCAUUUUCAUAUGUGUUUGCUCAUACCCACCCAGGAGCCCCAUGCCUCAGUGUUUCAUCUGCUGCAAGGAAGAAUAAAGGCUUUGAUCUGAA